RNAcentral lists this transfer RNA (84 nucleotides) under Lachnospiraceae bacterium. Its description in RNAcentral is "tRNA-Leu". It matches the Rfam family "tRNA". From Rfam's summary of the family: Transfer RNA (tRNA) molecules are approximately 80 nucleotides in length. Their secondary structure includes four short double-helical elements and three loops (D, anti-codon, and T loops). The record is from RNAcentral. Lineage: Bacteria; Bacillati; Bacillota; Clostridia; Lachnospirales; Lachnospiraceae.
GCGGAAGUGUCGGAACUGGCAGACGAGCUAGACUAAGGAUCUAGUAACAGCAAUGUUGUGAGGGUUCAAGUCCCUUCUUCCGCA